Cyprinus carpio (common carp) is the source of this 2802-nucleotide long non-coding RNA. The record is from Ensembl. Lineage: Eukaryota; Metazoa; Chordata; Actinopteri; Cypriniformes; Cyprinidae.
GUGGAGCGUCUCCUGGGAAACUUUGGAAGCAGAGUAAUAAAACUCUUAGCGUGCCUGUGCCAAGUUGGGACAUCUGCUCACCUUAUCACAGAUAAGUGGGGGUUUGUCCCAGCAUCUGUUAGAAUUAAUCCAUUUUGCAAACACAGUUAUCCUAAUCUCCUAAAUAUGCCCCUUUGCACAUCAGCGAUGCACAAUAUUGCUCUUUUUACGUUGUUUUGUUCUGUUACAUGUUAGCCUAAAAGGCUGAGCGUCACUGAAGAGCAGAAGAGACCGUUGUCCAAAAUGGCUCAAGAGCACAGAGGCCUCUCAGCGUACCUACAAUCUCCACAUGCAUAUUCAUGAGGCGCCCUCUUCCUUUUGUUGCCUGCCUAGUCAGCAGUCACAAAACACAUGGUGAGGGUUGGCAGUGCCUUGCCUAGGUAGAGAGGGGCGGUGGAUGGAGGCAAUGGCAGGAACCGGGACCUGUGAGGGCUGACUGACGUUUCCAUCUGUGGCGAAGGCUGGUAAUUAUCGGGAAGAGGAGCGCCCGCAGCAGCGCGCCAUCUGCUAAGGGGGAAACGGCUCAAUGAGCUGUGAGUGGGGGGAGGGGGUGCUGACACUCCUGAGCUCGCUCACAGAAGAGUGGGAGGUGUGAACAGGAAGUACCGCCCAACCUGCUCUCCGCCCAGAAGUCCCACCCCCUCACAUCCCAAACUGGAUACCAUUGGGGAGAGACAGUUUCAUCGGCAAGACGUGGCAGGUCUGGUGACGGUUCAGAGCAGUGAUCUUCCCCUCCGUUUCCCUCUCUUCUUUCUCCUUAUCUUUCCACACGCCAGAUCUUUCAGGGGCUGCAGGAGUCUGCACGGCAGAUGGGUGCCUUGCUUUUACAUCUCACUUGAGGGAUGGAAAAAACAGCACAAUCUGCGACCCACAAUGCAGCAUCAGUGGAGCCGUGCAAACGAAACAGGGAAUCGAUGCAAGGGCACAGCCCAGAUUCUUAACAAUCCCUUUGAAUCUCCACUUCCCCCUGCCUGGCCCUUCAAAGUGUGCCCAAUGUUUUAUUUAUCCGACGAAAUAAAGAGCCCGGCACAACAGAGUACCCCUUCUGUUUGCUGAAAAAGUCGGCCGUUAUCGAGAACGAGGGGAGGGACGGUGGGGAUUCGCACACGUCUUUGAGAAAGAACUACAAAUCCCAACAGGCUCGGUGGUGGAAACGGACCAGCUGUCCAUGGUUUUGCAGAUCAGAUCCCGUUGUCUUGAUUAUGAAAUCACAAAAUAAUGAGGAGUAAAGUGCAGGCAUGAGUGUUUUCUCCUUUGUUCUUGCUUUUGACAGAAGUUAUUUUUCUCCCGUUGCCUCCAAGCUGUGGUCUGCGGUUGCCAAUGUUUGGUGCAGGACUGCAUUUGUUCCCGCAGACAGAAGAGAAGACUCGUGGCCUUGCCCUGUUUAAAGCUGUCAUCCAACUCCCGCCUUGUGUUUUAUUCAAUUUUGACUGCGGCCCAUACGCCUCCCAUACCAACUGUCAUCAUCAAAAUUGCAAAAGUCCAAAGCAAUUAGACUUUUUGGAGACUCUCGGUUAACUUCUGUUGUGUUCUCGCAUUAUAUUAGAUAGAGAGAUGCACUACUUUAUGAAAAAAAAAAACUGAAUCUUCUUGCAAAGGCAGUUUUUGAGUAUUGUUCUUGCAAAGUUUCAUGGAUGACACAAUUGCAAUCUGUCUUGUCUGGAUCUGGGCUGCAUUUGCCAAAAGCAUUGUACGCCUAAGUAGAUGGUAGAACCGUUGGCACUGAUGGUCUCUCCGAACAAUUUAGGUUUAUGAUGCUUCUGGGAAAUGCAGCCGGAACUGGUACGAUUUCAUUUGGACUAAAGUAAAAUGAGGUAAAAUAAUUGCUUCAGUCCGACUGAAGUCGAACUUUUAGAGUCAAUUCAAAUGCACUUACCGAUGCACUCAUCUAUGGUUGAGCACAAGCACCAACCACGACUUCCUAAAAGCUUUCAGAGUUGACUUCCAUAAUGACUGGCUAAUCUUCUAGUUUCUAGACAAAUAUGAACUUUUUACGACACAGCAAAUGAGCAAAUCACAGCAGGCACUGAAAGCAGGCAGCAUUGUCAAAAAAGAUUUAGAUAUGAACAAAAAAGCUGACAGUGUUAAUAUGGAACCAGAAAGAGGAGCGCACCCUGGCAUUCACUCAAAUUUUGCACCUGCACCUUAACAAAUGGAGCUCUCCUGUGUGCCUCUCUGGCUUUCUCUGACUCCAUCUCUCAUUUCUAUUCAGCAAAAACUCUCGUUCUGUCCUACACCCAGGCUCUGGGCGACAUUUUUGGGGAGUUUCUUCUGCUCAGUGUACUGUGCGUGCAUUAAUUUGGGCCCGUCCCUGAGGAAGCGCAACAAUGAAGUGGACCUGUUUGGGAACAUGGUGCCAAGAUUGGGGGAUGACACAGCGAGGAGUUAGAGACACCUGGUCCGCCUGAAGGGCAAGCGGAAAACUUCUUCCCCCUUUCCCUCGCUCUGAGAAAACAGCUGCUGAUCAGCAUCUCGCAGCCAUCUUACCAUACUGGCUCAACCCAGGCCAUCAAUCAGCCAACACCUCCUGGGUGAGAGAGAGAGAGAGAGAGAGAGUGAGCAAUGAGCAAUACCUCAUUUGUUUUGGCAUAGGUGCUCGGUAUACUUUCACAUGGGUCUCACGACAGUUUUGGCUGGUUUCAGAUUAUGACUGAUAUUGAAGACACCUUGAAAUCAUUUGAUGUACAGUUCUCCCGUGUUGACAUGUUUUGCAGGACCAGGCCAACAAUAAUAAUAAUAAAAAUAUAUAUUUUAGUGCUGACA